Molecule: ribosomal RNA, 426 nt
Filed under: Triticum aestivum (bread wheat)
Lineage: Eukaryota; Viridiplantae; Streptophyta; Magnoliopsida; Poales; Poaceae
Description: partial small subunit ribosomal RNA
Source: RNAcentral
AUGCACCCGGAGAUAAGCAAGUUCCCCCUCUCGAGGUUUUACCUCGGCAAGGUGACAGAUGGCCCCAACAUCCUCGAAAGGGAUUACGAGAGGAAGCUCCUGGCUGGCCCAAUGUACGGCCCUUACUCGUUCAUCGACAUCAAAGGCAGGACCGAGAGCUCGGGCGAGCAUGGCAUGAGCCUGAGCAACACGGCCGAGGCAGCCGCCGUGACCCGGAUCGUGGAGAGAUUGUUCAAUGAGUCGGUUCGCUCGGGACAAAAGCUCGCCGUAGGCGUGGUAUCGCCGUACAAGGCGCAAGUCCACGCCAUCCAGGAGAGGCUCGGAAGGCUCGAGUGCGGGGCACACGGCGGCAGAGAACGCUUCUCCCUGAAGGUUCAGACCGUGGACGGGUUCCAGGGCGCCGUGGACGGUCCUCCACUGGGUUGA